Molecule: non-coding RNA, 445 nt
Filed under: Vitis vinifera (wine grape)
Lineage: Eukaryota; Viridiplantae; Streptophyta; Magnoliopsida; Vitales; Vitaceae
Description: Bacterial large subunit ribosomal RNA
Rfam family: Bacterial large subunit ribosomal RNA
Source: Rfam by way of RNAcentral
CCUAAUUUUAAUCAAGUUCGAAUGAUUAGAUGUUAGUCAAAACAUCAUAACAAGUUAGAAUUCUAACUUUGUGUCUGGAUCUAUAUGUCAAGGGACAAUCUCAAGUAAAUAAUUUCUAUGGGACAUUAGCCUCCUCAAAGAUAAUGAAAGCGAGCAAAGGCUUCCUAAGGUUGGAUGGAAAUUGGCCCUUGAGUGUAAAGAUAAAAAAGAGCUUGAGUAUAAGGCCCACCUAACAAAAAUAAGCCUUAGGAAGAUCAUCAUUCAAUGGAUAAAAGUUACUUUAAGGAUGAAGAGUUGAUUUUCUCCUAAUGCUCACAUUGUUGGAAAGGUUUAAUGCCUCGAUUUUAGCUAUUCACCCCUUAGGGCUAUAAUAUGUACCAAGAGUAAGGUUGCUCACUCAUUAAAACAGGGUGUAAACUGAGUUCAGAAUGUCAUCAAAUAAUUU